RNAcentral lists this ribosomal RNA (253 nucleotides) under uncultured bacterium. Its description in RNAcentral is "partial 16S ribosomal RNA". It matches the Rfam family "Bacterial small subunit ribosomal RNA", at positions 524 to 776 of the family's 1533-position model. The record is from RNAcentral.
UACGAAGGGGGCUAGCGUUGCUCGGAAUCACUGGGCGUAAAGCGCACGUAGGCGGACUCUUAAGUCGGUGGUGAAAUCCUGGAGCUCAACUCCAGAACUGCCUUCGAUACUGAGAGUCUCGAGUCCGGGAGAGGUGAGUGGAACUGCGAGUGUAGAGGUGAAAUUCGUAGAUAUUCGCAAGAACACCAGUGGCGAAGGCGGCUCUCUGGUCCAUGACUGACGCUGAGGUGCGAAAGCUAGGGGAGCAAACGGG